This 497-nucleotide ribosomal RNA is filed under the name uncultured bacterium. RNAcentral describes it as "partial 16S ribosomal RNA". It matches the Rfam family "Bacterial small subunit ribosomal RNA", at positions 28 to 507 of the family's 1533-position model. The record is from RNAcentral.
GAUGAACGCUGGCGGCGUGCCUAAUACAUGCAAGUCGAGCGAACAGACGAGGAGCUUGCUCCUCUGACGUUAGCGGCGGACGGGUGAGUAACACGUGGAUAACCUACCUAUAAGACUGGGAUAACUUCGGGAAACCGGGGCUAAUACCGGAUAAUAUAUUGAACCGCAUGGUUCAAUAGUGAAAGACGGAUUUGCUGUCACUUAUAGAUGGAUCCGCGCCGCAUUAGCUAGUUGGUAAGGUAACGGCUUACCAAGGCAACGAUGCGUAGCCGACCUGAGAGGGUGAUCGGCCACACUGGAACUGAGACACGGUCCAGACUCCUACGGGAGGCAGCAGUAGGGAAUCUUCCGCAAUGGGCGAAAGCCUGACGGAGCAACGCCGCGUGAGUGAUGAAGGUCUUCGGAUCGUAAAACUCUGUUAUUAGGGAAGAACAAAUGUGUAAGUAACUAUGCACGUCUUGACGGUACCUAAUCAGAAAGCCACGGCUAACUACGUG